RNAcentral lists this ribosomal RNA (477 nucleotides) under uncultured bacterium. RNAcentral's name for it is "partial 16S ribosomal RNA". It matches the Rfam family "Bacterial small subunit ribosomal RNA", at positions 30 to 507 of the family's 1533-position model. The record is from RNAcentral.
AUUGAACGCUGGCGGCAUGCCUUACACAUGCAAGUCGAACGGUAACAGGUUAAGCUGAUGAGUGGCGAAAGGGUGAGUAAUGUAUCGGAACGUGCCCAAUCGUGGGGGAUAACUGCUUGAAAGAGCAGCUAAUACCGCAUACGACCUGAGGGCGAAAGCGGGGGAUCGCAAGACCUCGCGCGAUUGGAGCGGCCGAUAUCAGAUUAGGUAGUUGGUGAGGUAAAGGCUCACCAAGCCGACGAUCUGUAGCUGGUCUGAGAGGACGACCAGCCACACUGGGACUGAGACACGGCCCAGACUCCUACGGGAGGCAGCAGUGGGGAAUUUUGGACAAUGGGCGCAAGCCUGAUCCAGCCAUGCCGCGUGCGGGAAGAAGGCCUUCGGGUUGUAAACCGCUUUUGUCAGGGAAGAAAAGGUUCUGGCUAAUACCUGGGGCUCAUGACGGUACCUGAAGAAUAAGCACCGGCUAACUACGUG